RNAcentral lists this ribosomal RNA (386 nucleotides) under uncultured soil bacterium. Its description in RNAcentral is "bacterial SSU rRNA". It matches the Rfam family "Bacterial small subunit ribosomal RNA", at positions 26 to 401 of the family's 1533-position model. The record is from RNAcentral.
AGAUUGAACGCUGGCGGCAUGCCUUACACAUGCAAGUCGAACGGCAGCACGGGAGCAAUCCUGGUGGCGAGUGGCGAACGGGUGAGUAAUACAUCGGAACGUGCCCAAUCGUGAGGGAUAACGCAGCGAAAGCUGUGCUAAUACCGCAUAAGAUCUACGGAUGAAAGCAGGGGAUCGCAAGACCUUGCGCGAAAUGGAGCGGCCGAUGGCAGAUUAGGUAGUUGGUGAGGUAAGGCUCACCAAGCCUUCGAUCUGUAGCUGGUCUGAGAGGACGACCAGCCACACUGGGAUGAGACACGGCCCAGACUCCGUGGCGGGAGGCGAGCGAGGUGGGGGUAAGUUUAGGACAAGUGGGACCGGAAAGUCCCGUGACUCCGAACGCCGAA